UGCAGUCGACGGAAGCAGAAAUGCUUCAGUGGCAGACGGGUGAGUAACGCGUAKGAWWCUACCUCUAGGAGGGGAAUAGCCAAUCGAAAGGUCGGGUAAUACCCCAUAGUUCUCGUAAGAGUAAAGGACUUAACGGUCCGCCAAGAGAGGAGCCUGCGUCCUAUCAGCUAGUUGGCGGGGUAAAAGCCCACCAAGGCAAUGACGGGUAGCUGGACKGAGAGGUCGAUCAGCCACAACUGCACUGAGACACGGGCAGUACACCUACGGGUGGCAGCAACCAGGAAUAUUGCGCAAUGGACGAAAGUCUGACGCAGCGACGCCGCGUGGAGGAAGAAGGCCUUAGGGUCGUAAACUCCUUUUGCCAAGCUGUUCACAGCUUGGCGAAUAAGCACCUACUAACUACGUGGCCCAUUAAAUUGGGUUGGCGCGUAGUAUAAAUUUCACUAUAUGCUGGAAACUUCUGUAAAUGCUAGAUUACUCUUUUGAGUGACAAUAUCUAGCCAACCCUAAAAAACUUUACGAGAUUAGUAUAAGGGUUGCGGAACAAUCAGCAGGGAAGACUUCGAUUUAAUAUUGGAGAACCCUCAGAGACUAUACGUGGAACACUCGAAGGAGUGAAGAUAUAGUCCAAGGUCGGAAUCGUUAGAUUUAUUUAACGGACCGGGCCAGAAGUCUCGGUAAUACGUAGGGUGCAAGCGUUAUCCGGAUUCAUUGGGCGUAAAGUGUACGUAGGCGCCUUUUCAAGUCA
This 748-nucleotide ribosomal RNA is filed under the name uncultured bacterium. RNAcentral's name for it is "bacterial SSU rRNA". It matches the Rfam family "Bacterial small subunit ribosomal RNA", at positions 56 to 590 of the family's 1533-position model. The record is from RNAcentral.